AUUGAACGCUAGCGGGAUGCCUUACACAUGCAAGUCGAACGGCAGCACGGACUUCGGUCUGGUGGCGAGUGGCGAACGGGUGAGUAAAGUAUCGGAACGUGCCCAGUAGCGGGGGAUAACUACGCGAAAGCGUAGCUAAUACCGCAUACGCCCUAAGGGGGAAAGCGGGGGAUCGCAAGACCUCGCACUAUUGGAGCGGCCGAUACCGGAUUAGGUAGUUGGUGGGGUAAAGGCCUACCAAGGCGACGAUCCGUAGCGGGUUUGAGAGGACGGCCGGCCACACUGGGAGUGAGACACGGCCCAGACGCCUACGGGAGUCAGCAGUGGGGAAUUUUGGAAAAUGGGGGCAACCCUGAUCCAGCCAUUUCGCGUGUGCGAUGAAGGCCUUCGGGUUGUAAAGCACUUUUGGCAGGGAAGAAAAGGAUUGGGCUAAUACCCUGAUUCGCUGACGGUACCUGCAGAAUAAGCACCGGCUAACUACGUGCCAGCAGCCGCCGUAA
RNAcentral lists this ribosomal RNA (500 nucleotides) under uncultured bacterium. RNAcentral's name for it is "partial 16S ribosomal RNA". It matches the Rfam family "Bacterial small subunit ribosomal RNA", at positions 29 to 523 of the family's 1533-position model. The record is from RNAcentral.